RNAcentral lists this unclassified non-coding RNA (865 nucleotides) under Hevea brasiliensis (rubber tree). The record is from RNAcentral. Lineage: Eukaryota; Viridiplantae; Streptophyta; Magnoliopsida; Malpighiales; Euphorbiaceae.
UAAUUCCAGUAAUUAAUAUGAAACUUAAUUCUUUCAUUAAAAUUUGACAGAUGAAAAAUAAUAUGUUGAACAAUUAGUUUUUCACUCUUUAUUGUCAGAACACUCGCCUUUGCAUACAAAAAAUCAGCUCUUGUACAAUACAUUCCCUAAUCACACAAGUUAAAAAAAAAACUUAGAUUAAAGAAAAAGAUAAAGAACAAACUUGUGGAACUGUACAUCUGAUUGCCAAUCUUCAUUACCUGGUUUUGACUGUACUAUAUAUAGCUUUUCCACCUUCUGCAGCAUCAACAUCUGAGAAAUUAUAACACAAAAGCAAGUGGAUAAUGGUAGUAAGCUUCUCGACUUUUGAAGCAAAUUAAAUUAAGUAAAUCAUGAAUAAAUUGCAUACUCCAAAGAACAGGUUAGAAACAGAUAAUGUCAGAUGCAAAGCUCCAAAUAUUGAAAAAAAAAAUUAUUGAAUGAUGGAAGAAGAAGAGUGCAGGCAUUCUCAAGUGCUCAAAAAUGAAGACAGAGCUCAUGUAAGGUACAAAGUUGAGUGCAUAUAUUUUCAAUGACAAAUUACAUGGUAUGGUGGCAGAAAUAGAAGAUUGAAACACUUACGUUUAUGAUGGUUUUAAAUGAAGCCUUGAGCAAUGUUUUGCUCUCUUCUUAUCCCAAUCCUUCUUAGUUCUUUUAGGUGCGAGGCUAUUUCUUGAAUGAAUCGAAGUCCCUCUUCUCCAUUUCUGAUUGAGUUGAUGCUGUGCUCAAGAAAAUCCUUGUCUGCCUCAAGAACUUUUAACCUUUCAUUCAGGUCAGAAACCUCAGCUGCAAGAGAAUCCAGAUCGAUCCCCUGACGAGGUAGAGGAGAGGUAUGCCCACCAUAGAA